Non-coding RNA from Chrysemys picta bellii (western painted turtle), 2643 nucleotides. The record is from RefSeq and is a predicted model, not a curated record. Lineage: Eukaryota; Metazoa; Chordata; Testudines; Emydidae.
UCCCCCGCCCCUCCCAGCACGUAGGAGUGACAGUCCAUCCAGCAGGGGGCAGUGUUACACACACACACACACUGCUCCCUCCCCCUCCCCCAACCUUGGUGCCAUUCUAACCUGCAGGGGGCAGCCUCACCCAGCUGCAUGCGCACUGCCCCCACGUAGACAUACUUGAGCACGUGAAAUCCCAUCCACUAGGGGGCAGCACCCACCCCACCCCUCUCUUCAGCUCCCCUAGUGGGUGCCCUGGGCCAGACACUACGGAAAGCGUCGGCCUCUUUUGCACAGGGACGGUUUUAACUCGGGCCCGUUACAGACUCUGCCCCACCCCUCAGGUCCCGAGGCAGGGGAUUACCCCCCCCCCCCGCAUGCUGGGGAGGGUGGAUCCCCGAGCCAGAAGCAGCGAGGGCUAAUGUUCUUGUAUGAGGAGUGUGCGUCGGGGUUUUGUUAGGUCGCCCCCCUGGGGGCUCCCCGGCCGUUUCUUUGCAACGGCUCAUUAGGAUCCGCCUGGAUCCUUUCCCCAGGUUCCGGGCCACAAUCUCUUCCCAGCGCCACCCCGUCACUCCGGCCGCAUCAGUCACCAUCUCGGCCCCCCUCCCCCCCCCCGACCUUGGACGCAGACAUUUUUCCACAUCGAUCCUUGGCCGGCUGGCCCCGCUGCCAGCUCCGAGCCAAGGCCAUGGGGGGUGACGGACCACUUUCGUCUGGCGAGGGUGUCCUGGACUCCCUGGUGGAAGGGGGACCCUGGAGAAGACCAGAAGAACGGCCAGACUGGGUCAGCCCUGUGGUCCAGCCAGCCCGGGGUCCUGUCUUCCGACAGUGGCUGGUGCCAGGCGCUUCAGAGGGAUGAACAGAACCGAGUGAUUAGCGAGUGAUCCAGCUCCUGGCCUCAGGACUUAAUUUGUGAUGAAAGAGGGGCCGGCACUCAAGACAUUUUAUUUUUUUUACUUUCAUAACGGAUGCAGCAAGCCCAGAGGUGCCCAGGCUCUGAACGGCCAGGCCCAGAGGUGCCAGGGCUCUGAACGGCCAGGCCCAGAGGUGCUGGGCUAUGAACGGCCGAGUCCAGAGGUGCCGAGGCUCUGAACGGCCAGGCCCAGAGGUGCCGGGGCUAUGAACUGCCAGGCCCAGAGGUGCCGGGGCUCUGAACGACCAGGCCCAGAGGUGCCAGGGCUAUGAACGACCAGGCUCAGAGGUGCUGGGCUAUGAACGACCAGGCUCAGAGGUGCUGGGCUAUGAACGACCAGACCCAGAGGUCCCGGGGCUAUGAACGGCCAGGCCCAGAGGUGCCGGGGCUCUGAACGGCCGAGCCCAGAGGUCCCGGGGCUCUGAACGGCCAGGCUCAGAGGUGCUGAGCUAUGAACGGCCGAGCCCAGAGGUCCCGGGGCUCUGAACGGCCGAGCCCAGAGGUCCCGGGGCUCUGAACGGCCAGGCUCAGAGGUGCUGGGCUAUGAACGGCCGAGCCCAGAGGUCCCGGGGCUCUGAACGGCCGAGCCCAGAGGUCCCAGGGCUCUGAACGGCCAGGCUCAGAGGUGCUGGGCUAUGAACGGCCAAGCCCUGGCACAAAUUGAGCACUGUCUAUUGUCCAGUGUCCACUUCUGGCAGCCAGAGGCCCAGGGACUGAGUGGGGUGUGGGAUUGAUUUCUGUUUGGGCGGGGGAGGGAUCAGUGUGGUGAGCUCCCCCAGUAAAACCAGAGUGGACUCUGGGUGGAAACCUCCUCCCCCCCCGCCCCCCGUCAGCUGGGUCAUUGGCUGGGACCAAACCUGGGACCUAUGGGUUCAAAAAGCAGGCGCCUCUGCUAAUUAAGCCAAAGGACCAGACUCUAUAGCUCGCUCAGUAGCUAAUCCUGAGCCGCCAUACAAAGUCUGACCACUAGAGGGCAAGAGAGAGACUUUUCACUUGGGGGCACCCCUGGGCAAUAUUUGCAGAGCCCAGGGGUGCGGAGCGCUGGGGGGCAGGAAGGAUCCCCCCUCCCUCCACUGAGAGCAAGGGGCUGUGUAUGGGCAGGCUGCGGGGAGGGGGCCUGGUCCCAGAAGGUAAGAGCAGGUGCUGAGGACUGGGGAAGUUGUGACACGGGUGGGGAAGGAGCCCGUGGGGGUGGGGCGAGACACUGCAAACUCCUGGCAGUGUUUAAAGUUGAUUAUUAUUGUUUUAAUCUUAUUUAAUUCUCCCCUCGAGGGUCGCGUGAUGAGAGGCACAAAGGGUUAAGGAGACAGUAGGGGGCAGAGGCAGGUUCUUGGAGGGGGGGGGCAGAAACAGCCCCUCCCAGUAUGGGGCAGAAGAAUAACAGCCCUCCCCCAGUGUGGGGCGAACAGGCUUCCCAAGGGGCAAUCGGUCCCUCUCCAGCAGGGGGCGCUGUGAGCACCCCGGCCCUGUGGAAGGGCAGAGUUCGAGUAUCGCCGUCCUAGCAUUUCCCCUUGGAGCCGAGGACGCCUGACCCCAAGACGGAGCUCCGUGGUGCCUUGCAUGGUGGCCAGUACCCGGUGGGAAGAGCACGACGCUCGCCCCAUCUCAACAGGGCCUGGCGCUGCCCCCCACCCCACCCCCCCACCGAUGGGCUGGCUGCAGGGCUGGCUGGCAGGCCCGACUCUGCGCCCACAGGGGCUGCCACUUCAAAGGGAAAAAAGAGCUAAUAAAGUUUUCUAAACUUU